AGAGUUUGAUCCUGGCUCAGAUUGAACGCUGGCGGCAGGCCUAACASAUGCAAGUCGAGCGGUARCASAGAGAGCUUGSUCUCGGGUGACGAGCGGCGGACGGGUGAGUAAUGUCUGGGAAACUGCCUGAUGGAGGGGGAUAACUACUGGAAACGGUAGCUAAUACCGCAUAACGUCGCAAGACCAAAGUGGGGGACCUUCGGGCCUCAUGCCAUCAGAUGUGCCCAGAUGGGAUUAGCUAGUAGGUGGGGUAAUGGCUCACCUAGGCGACGAUCCCUAGCUGGUCUGAGAGGAUGACCAGCCACACUGGAACUGAGACACGGUCCAGACUCCUACGGGAGGCAGCAGUGGGGAAUAUUGCACAAUGGGCGCAAGCCUGAUGCAGCYAUGCCGCGUGUAUGAAGAAGGCCUUCGGGUUGUAAAGUACUUUCAGCGAGGAGGAAGGCGUUAAGGUUAAUAACCUUGGCGAUUGACGUUACUCGCAGAAGAAGCACCGGCUAACUCCGUGCCAGCAGCCGCGGUAAU
Molecule: ribosomal RNA, 525 nt
Filed under: uncultured Enterobacteriaceae bacterium
Lineage: Bacteria; Pseudomonadati; Pseudomonadota; Gammaproteobacteria; Enterobacterales; Enterobacteriaceae
Description: bacterial SSU rRNA
Rfam family: Bacterial small subunit ribosomal RNA
Source: RNAcentral